CGUAGGGUGCGAGCGUUGUCCGGAAUUAUUGGGCGUAAAGGGCUCGUAGGCGGUUUGUCGCGUCGGGAGUGAAAACCUCGGGCUUAACUCGGGGCUUGCUUUCGAUACGGGCAGACUAGAGGUAUGCAGGGGAGAACGGAAUUCCUGGUGUAGCGGUGAAAUGCGCAGAUAUCAGGAGGAACACCGGUGGCGAAGGCGGUUCUCUGGGCAUGAUCUGACGCUGAGGAGCGAAAGUGUGGGGAGCGAACAGGAUUAGAUACCCUGGUAGUCCACACCGUAAACGUUGGGCGCUAGGUGUGGGAUCCAUUCCACGGGUUCCGUGCCGCAGCUAACGCAUUAAGCGCCCCGCCUGGGGAGUACGGCCGCAAGGCUA
RNAcentral lists this ribosomal RNA (373 nucleotides) under uncultured organism. RNAcentral describes it as "bacterial SSU rRNA". It matches the Rfam family "Bacterial small subunit ribosomal RNA", at positions 526 to 896 of the family's 1533-position model. The record is from RNAcentral.